RNAcentral lists this ribosomal RNA (1395 nucleotides) under uncultured bacterium. RNAcentral's name for it is "bacterial SSU rRNA". It matches the Rfam family "Bacterial small subunit ribosomal RNA". The record is from RNAcentral.
AGAGUUUGAUCCUGGCUCAGGAUGAACGCUAGCUACAGGCUUAACACAUGCAAGUCGAGGGGCAGCAUGACGAUAGCUUGCUAUUGUUGAUGGCGACCGGCGCACGGGUGAGUAACGCGUAUCCAACCUGCCCUUGUCCAUCGGAUAACCCGUCGAAAGGCGGCCUAACACGAUAUGGUGUUCCACGAAGGCAUCUGAACGGAACUAAAUGCGAAGGAGAAGGAUGGGGAUGCGUCUGAUUAGCUUGUUGGCGGGGUAACGGCCCACCAAGGCGACGAUCAGUAGGGGUUCUGAGAGGAAGGUCCCCCACAUUGGAACUGAGACACGGUCCAAACUCCUACGGGAGGCAGCAGUGAGGAAUAUUGGUCAAUGGGCGCGAGCCUGAACCAGCCAAGUAGCGUGCAGGAUGACGGCCCUAUGGGUUGUAAACUGCUUUUAUGCGGGGAUAAAGUGUGGGACGUGUCCCAUAUUGCAGGUACCGCAUGAAUAAGGACCGGCUAAUUCCGUGCCAGCAGCCGCGGUAAUACGGAAGGUCCGGGCGUUAUCCGGAUUUAUUGGGUUUAAAGGGAGCGUAGGCCGUCUGUUAAGCGUGUUGUGAAAUGUCGUGGCUCAACCGGGGCACUGCAGCGCGAACUGGCAGACUUGAGUGCACGGUAGGAAGGCGGAAUUCGUCGUGUAGCGGUGAAAUGCUUAGAUAUGACGAAGAACUCCGAUUGCGAAGGCAGCUUUCCGUAGUGUAACUGACGCUGAAGCUCGAAAGCGUGGGUAUCGAACAGGAUUAGAUACCCUGGUAGUCCACGCGGUAAACGAUGGAUGCUCGCUGUUUGCGUCUGACGUAAGCGGCCAAGCGAAAGCGUUAAGCAUCCCACCUGGGGAGUACGCCGGCAACGGUGAAACUCAAAGGAAUUGACGGGGGCCCGCACAAGCGGAGGAACAUGUGGUUUAAUUCGAUGAUACGCGAGGAACCUUACCCGGGCUCAAACGACAGUGGACAGCGCCUGAAAGGGCGUCUCCGGCAACGGCCGCUGUCGAGGUGCUGCAUGGUUGUCGUCAGCUCGUGCCGUGAGGUGUCGGCUUAAGUGCCAUAACGAGCGCAACCCCCAUCUCCAGUUGCCACCGGGUCGUGCCGGGCACUCUGGAGGGACUGCCAGCGCAAGCUGCGAGGAAGGCGGGGAUGACGUCAAAUCAGCACGGCCCUUACGUCCGGGGCGACACACGUGUUACAAUGGCGGAGAACAGAGGGGAGCCACGUGGCGACACGGAGCCGAUCCCUAAAAUCCGUCUCAGUUCGGACUGGAGUCUGCAACCCGACUCCACGAAGCUGGAUUCGCUAGUAAUCGCGCAUCAGCCAUGGCGCGGUGAAUACGUUCCCGGGCCUUGCACACACCGCCCGUC